RNAcentral lists this small RNA (170 nucleotides) under Gopherus agassizii (Agassiz's desert tortoise). Its description in RNAcentral is "TUC338 (ENSGAGG00000007410.1)". Lineage: Eukaryota; Metazoa; Chordata; Testudines; Testudinidae. The record is from RNAcentral.
UUGCAACCCUAGAGAGACUGAAAUCCUCUUUUUAUUCAUGGAACAGGUGCAGCCUCGGCAGUAGCAGUGCAAGCUGCCUCAUGCCCUCCCAUCAGAAUGCUUCAGCCCUGACAUGGGAAGAUCACCCCUCAGACAGCUCCACCUCAGUGCACCUACACUCCUUGUCUUCU